AAUAGCCUAACGGCUGAACCAGCAAUUUGGAGGAAUGAAUAGUAAAAACUAGUUGCAUAAUUUUAUGCAAUAUCAAUUAAUUUGAAUAAAAUUCUGGGUAAAUCUAGAUGAUGACUUAAUUUACUCAUAGGUCUUGACCAAAGUACGUGCCAGCAGUCGCGGUAAAACGUUAAAGACAAGCGUUAUUCAUCUUUAGUAGGUUUAAAGGGUACUUAGACGGCAGACCAAACCAUAGUAGGAACUAGUUUGCUUGAGUUACUUAUGAAGGGGCUAAAAAGUACUAAUGGAGUAGAGAUAAAAUGCUAAUAUACCUUUUUCAUAAAAAUUUUAAUGGCACUGGUAAAAGUGAAAGCAUCCCCUUAUGCGAUAACUGACGUUAAAGGACGAAGGCUUUGAAUCGCGAAUAGGAUUAGAUACCCUAGUAGUCGAAGCAGAAAAUGAUGAGUGUCAUAAAUUAGAAAAUGCUAAAUUUUAAUCUAUAAAUGAAAGUGUAAGCACUCCACCUUAAGAGUACUGUGGCAACACAGAAAUUGAAAUCAUUAGACCGUUUCUGAAACUAGUAGUGAAGUAUGUUGUUUAAUUUGAUAAUCCGCAAAAAACCUUACCACAACUUGAAUAUGUAUAUUUAAUAUAUUUACAAGCGUUGCACGGCUGUCUAAAGUUGAUAUCGUGAGAAUCUGGUUAGCUCCAUUAAAUCGACGUAAACCCUCAUUUUACUUUAAAGUAAAAUGUUUUAUCACUAUAAAGGACAUAAUAAAAGGGAACAAGACAAGUCAUCAUGGCCUGAAUGUUGU
Molecule: ribosomal RNA, 794 nt
Filed under: Phyllopsora soralifera
Lineage: Eukaryota; Fungi; Ascomycota; Lecanoromycetes; Lecanorales; Ramalinaceae
Description: SSU rRNA
Rfam family: Bacterial small subunit ribosomal RNA
Source: RNAcentral